RNAcentral lists this ribosomal RNA (484 nucleotides) under uncultured bacterium. Its description in RNAcentral is "partial 16S ribosomal RNA". It matches the Rfam family "Bacterial small subunit ribosomal RNA", at positions 30 to 507 of the family's 1533-position model. The record is from RNAcentral.
AUUGAACGCUGGCGGCAGGCCUAACACAUGCAAGUCGAGCGGAUGAAGGGAGCUUGCUCCUGGAUUCAGCGGCGGACGGGUGAGUAAUGCCUAGGAAUCUGCCUGGUAGUGGGGGAUAACGUCCGGAAACGGGCGCUAAUACCGCAUACGUCCUGAUGGAGAAAGUGGGGGAUCUUCGGACCUCACGCUAUCAGAUGAGCCUAGGUCGGAUUAGCUAGCUGGUCGGGUAAAGGCCUACCAAGGCGACGAUCCGUAACUGGUCUGAGAGGAUGAUCAGUCACCCUGGAACUGAGACACGGUCCAGACUCCUACGGGAGGCAGCAGUCGGGAAUAUUGGACAAUGGGCGAAAGCCUGAUCCAGCCAUGCCGCGUGUGUGAAGAAGGUCUUCGGAUUGUAAAGCACUUUAAGUUGGGAGGAAGGGCAGUAAGUUAAUACCUUGCUGUUUUGACGUUACCAACAGAAUAAGCACCGGCUAACUUCGUG